GCAGGGGAUGGGCAUUAGUGGUAAACAUGGCAGGAAAUAAGGGGGUGAGAGCAGACUGCCGUGGAACUGCGAGCCAACCACGAUUGUGGGGUGUCCUCUGCCAUCAAUCAAGCUGUUGCUAUUCUCAUCUACCUCUCUUCCUAAAAUCUCAGGCGCUCCCAGCAACUCCAGCCAGAUCCGAACAUGCCAGCAGUCACCAGCCAUACUGAGGUCUUGCAUGUGGAAAGUUUCCAGACACUGCUACCUGGCUGUCUGCGGGGUCUGCACUUCAAAGCUCCCCUUGGGAUGGGUUUGGUCAGCAGCUGCAGGGAGUCUGACAGGCUCAUCAUUACCCAGACGAAAUAAGAAGAGCUUAGGAAAACACUGUUAUUUGGGUGAGAGGCAAAAGCAAUAACAAAAAAGCUCAGCCUGGCAAGAUUUUCCAGCCUCUUGACGUAUGGUACAGCAGGAUCCUCUCAAAUGGACAUGCAUGUAUUUUUUUUUUUUCACAAGCAAACAGCAAGACACCUGAAAGUAUACUUGGAUUUGAUACAUAUGUCUAAGUUAACCUAGUGAGUUUAAAAUAACAUUUAACACACAGCUAGAACAUUCACAUUUUAAAUAUUACUCUUCAUGGAAAAAAAAAAAAAAAGAAAUGAAGCAAGUUUCCUAUGGUACCUAUCACCAGGGCAAGAUUCUUUCAGAAACAUCAAGUUCUGACCAUUGAGAGACCAUUUCCCUACUGACCCUUAGCACUAAAAAUAUAAUAGUGGUGGUGGUGAUGAUGAUGAUGAUGACGAUGACAACAGAACAGGGAACAUUUAUCUCAUGCCAUAAGCAGCUGUAUUCAGGCAGAUUCAGGAAGCCUCCUGCAUGCAAGUCAGCCUGAAGAACAGGAGUUACUUGCUCUCAUGCCGGGUUGUAAAAACUAGUUCUUCUUGGAGUACUUGUAAUUAGAAGGAUGAAAUUAGCUUCAGGAAAUUGAAACUAUGCAUGGAAAGGAGGAGGUGUUCAGGUAAUUUUACUCUGACAUUUGAUAAUGCACAAUUUCAGAAAUCAUUUAAUUUCAAAAUUUCCUGAAUUUCACCAAAAUGAAGUGAGGAAGUUAACAUGGGAAACCAAGGGAUUUUGCAAUCAGUGGUGUUUCUACCUGUGGGAGGGUAACUAAUGAUUAGCUCAGGAAAUAGCCAUAGGUUAAUCUGCUAGUGUCCUGAGAGGGCUUGUAUUGCUGGGGGAGUCUGAUUCACAUUGUAUGACCUAUUUGUAUUUAUGCUGUCAGGGAUGCUGCAAAAGUUAAGAAGUCAGACUAUGAAACUUCUAGUAUGUCAUAUACAGAGUGAAAGCAAAGAGAAGGCUAUAUGAUCCCUGUUCUGGGAACUUUGCAGGCCACAGUGGUGAAGUAGGAACCCCUACAGCCUACCCCCUUCUGCCAAUUACCCUGGAGCCACAUUCCACUGGCUUCUGAACAUCAAGACCCCUCUCACCUCCAAGAACAGAAGACAGCGCAGAGAUCUUUGGGGGCAAACAACAAUCAAGAGGCCACAAGCAUAACUGACCUUUGGGAAAAGAGUUAUUUCUCUCAAUUCUGAGCCUGGAGACCGUUGAGCCCAUGAAAAGCCACAAGGAUUUAGGCCACAUACCCCUUAGGUUUCUACCUGAAAUUAUUGACAAUUAUCUUUAUGUUUUUUUAAGAUUUUAUUUAUUUAUUCAUGAGACACACACAGAAAGAGAGAGGCAGAGACACAGGCAGAGGGAGAAGCAGGCUCCAUGCAGGGAGCCCGAUGUGGGACUUGAUCCUGGGACUCCAGGAUCACGCCCCAGGCCAAAGGCAGGCGCUAAACCGCUGAGCCACCCAGGGAUCCCCAACAAUUACCUUUAAACAACAAUGUAUACUAAAAGGGUAACAUUUAUAAAUCCCUGCUAAAUGUGGCUAGCUAGCUAUGAGCUUUCAAGGCAAUAAAACAUACAUGAUUUUCU
Long non-coding RNA from Nyctereutes procyonoides (raccoon dog), 1956 nucleotides. RefSeq lists it as uncharacterized. NCBI's taxonomy places the organism in Eukaryota, Metazoa, Chordata, Mammalia, Carnivora, Canidae. The transcript has 3 exons. The record is from RefSeq and is a predicted model, not a curated record.